This 75-nucleotide transfer RNA is filed under the name Pseudomonadota bacterium. RNAcentral describes it as "Proteobacteria bacterium (groundwater metagenome) tRNA-Gln". It matches the Rfam family "tRNA". From Rfam's summary of the family: Transfer RNA (tRNA) molecules are approximately 80 nucleotides in length. Their secondary structure includes four short double-helical elements and three loops (D, anti-codon, and T loops). The record is from RNAcentral. Lineage: Bacteria; Pseudomonadati; Pseudomonadota.
UGGGGCGUCGUCAAGCGGUAAGACACAGGCCUUUGACGCCUGCAUUCAUAGGUUCGAAUCCUAUCGCCCCAGCCA